GCUUGGACUGUGAGAUAAACAGGACAUGCUCCAAGGAGUGGGCCGAUGGCCAGUGGACACAGCUGAAGAGGCAGCUGUGAGGAGGAGGAGGAGAGGUGGAAGGUUGGGGGGAAGGGGGAGGAAGGAGACAGAGAAGGAGGGAUGGGAGGUGAGUUACACGCUGCGGAGGGCAAAGUGCCCUGACAGCCACAAGAGUCACAGAGUGGGACCUCUCCCGGUUUGACAGAUGGACAGACAGGGCUGCGCCCCACUGGCAGGCUACGGCUCUUGAUGCAAGAGUUGGCGCACACACACACACACACACACACAUUGACGUUUGCUCAGGGAACGUACGCACAAACAUCUAUCUAAAGCCCAGCCACAUCGAAAAAAAUCAGGAAUGCAAUACGGAGGAGAGAAACAAAACAAACAAGGACAAAGUUGAAUCUCUUCCUUCAAGAAAUUAACACUUAAAAAUGUACCCUUCUGCUUUGUUUGACUUCAGCGCCGAGCCUUUGCAGAGAAAACAGAGAGGGCUGUCCGAGGCCAUUUGUCAGGGGGAAUAAAGCUAAAUCAAAUCCAAAGAUUUUAUUCCUUCGAUUUAAGACAGGGCCCGAAACCGCAGGGAGGUACCGGGCAUCGACUUGUGUGUAGAUCAGCUAGCCUUUGCUUUUCUCUCCACGUGGGACACAGAGGACAGUAUUGGCCGAGAUGUGAGACGUGCAAUGAAGCAUGUGGGGGUGCAGAGGUGGGGGGGAGAAUUCAAUCAGAGUUGACCAUCUGCCAGAUCGCUUGUAAUGCCAAAGGUGUUAUUCCUCUGUGAGAUAUCCUCAGCGCGGCGCAUGAAGCAAGAGUCUGGCAAAGUCAAAGUCAGGAAGCAUGACAGUACAAUUUAAAAAAUUUAAUACACCUUUCUGGGAUUUUAUUGUUUGGUUAUGUUGAAUUUAUAUCUUAAGAAAAAAAAAAAGCAAUGCACUGAGUAUGUCCUCUUCUACUCUCAAAGACCAAAGCAUGAAUUAUAAAGUUUAUGUUUCUGAGCUCUUCAAAUGAGUCCUAGUCCUCACAAGAUAAACUUAGUGGGGAUCUAAAAUGAAAUCUUAGAGAGGAGAAAUUGAUUUUUUCCGAUACCUGGUGGUGAGAUUGUAGAUCAAAACGCUCCCCUGCUACUUCAUUAUUGUGGCACCUUGAUGUCAAAUCUGCUGCAUGUGAAUUCAACUGCGAGGCCGCCUCAAGAGAUGAUAAUACGGUUAUAAAAUAAUAUGAAUUCCCUUUUUUUUACCACAAAUACCAUCACCCGGGAAACAAGAGAGAGAAGGCGGCGGAAAAGAGGUGAGGGGCUGGCAUAAUGACAUAACCACCGAUUGUGCUUAAUUGUUGGGUUAUUUAUAAAAGCGUCAGGAGUCAGAAUGAAGCGAGAGGGAGUGAAAGAAAGGAAUAAUUUCCAGGUCUUUCCAUCGCUCGCUCAUGUUAGAUUAAUGCUGAAAUCUUAGUAAAUAAUACAACAAAGAGCGCGGUCUAAACCUGCCUCUGUUAUAAAUUCAGUGCUCUGUAAUUAACAGCAGACGGACUGAUGAUUGAACUAAAAGAUAUUAAUGACUUUUAGAUUCCAGAUGCACUUUACAACUUUUUAAAUUAUAGAUAAACAUUUCUAAAUCCUUUUAAGUUCGUGUUUUAGCGAACGCCGCUGUCUGAUAACUUGAAUACUGAUAUUUUGACAUCCCCAUGCCAAGGCCACACUACAUAAUCUUUUAUCCAUUGCCAAGGUUACUGUGCAACGACAUACAUGACAGACUACCUGGCAGUACCUGACCAGUAAUCAUGACCAGUGCUGGGAAUGCUUAAUGCCACUUUCUCGCCGUUUUGGACUUUUUCUCGCCAACCUUUUCUAUUUUUAAGUCCCCCAUAGUCCUUUGAAGGCACAUCAUAAAGACUGGGAUAUUGUUCUCCGAGCUCCACAAAUUCUCCUUUCUCUCAAAGUUCGGUCUCACAGCAUCAACUUCAUGAGUCUUCCUCUCACUUUAACAGUUUGUUUUUUUUCUGCGCUCAUGACUCGCUCUGUGCGCAUGCCGGUCAUUGUUACUGACGAGAGGGAACACAUCAUAAAAGACAGAGAGAGAGAAAUGGAAUGUGCUUGAAUGUGUUUCUGUUGUUACUCUGAAGUGGAGCAGGUAUAUGUCUCAGGAAAUGGAUUCACAGCGACGUUUCAGGCCCUGAUGCAAGGAGGCUUCAGAAAAAGAUCAAUAAGUGCAAAGAGCAAGCCCUGCAACAGGUGUGCAUGUGUGUGUGUGUGCGUGUGUGUGUGUGUGUGUGUGUGUGUGUGUGUGUGUGUGUGUGUGUGUGUGUGUGUGUGUGUGCGCGCGCGCGCGCGCGUGUGUGUGUGUAGGUGGGUGAGGGAUAAACACAAGUGUCCAGAGAGGAUGUUGUGCAGCUGCAGAGCAUGUGUUAUUGUUGGGUUGUGCGGACAGUUGGAGUGGCUUUACUGAAACUGAGAAAAAUGCUUUUCAAGUGUUUGGACCGGACAGACUAAUAUGUUAUGUUGGAUCCAUGUGAAACUAUGUAUUUCUAGUCUUUUCCUGAAGGAAUUGAAAGACAAAAAAUAAAUAAAUAAAAAAACCUUAAAGUGGCCUAUGACCCCAAAAAUGCAGAGACUGGAAAGACAAAGUACAGUGGCUAAAGUGUAAAUGUGUUAGAUUCUGUCUCUUCUUUUUCUAUUAAAUUAAAACCAAUAAAUAAUAGUUGUUAAGCUCUGUUUUUUUUUCAUUUUACUUAAGACAGAUAGAUAAAAUAAAAAAGUUUCAGCAAAUUUUUGCCAUUGAAUUAACCCCCCACCUCUUUAAAGUGCAUUUUUACACUGAUAAUGAUUAAAGAUACUUUUUGAUAAAAAAAAAAGAUAUAUAACGCCAAAAAAAGUAAAUCAUAAAAUAGAAAUAAUACUUUAAAAAAAUAAUAAAAAUAGUGAUAAUAAUAAAACUAAUACUGCUACUGUAACUAAUAAUAAAAACGAUCAUUUAAUAACAACAAUAAAAAUAAAUUUCUUAUAACACCCAACCCUAACCCAAACCCUAAUUACAUCAAUUGAAUUAUUGCUAAUACUUAUAUACUACACUACUACCACUACUACUACUAUUACUACUCCUAAUAAGAAUAAUAUUAGAUCAUUUUAUUUAUACUUCUACGGUUAUCAUUAUUAUUUUUUUUCAUUAUUUUUAUUGUUAUUAUUGUAAGAAAGAAAAAUGUUAAUAAUGUUAAUAGUAAACAUUAGAAAUAAUGUUAAAUAUAAGUGCAUUUAAAAUGGUGGAUGAUACUUAAUUUAUUAUCAAUAUAAUGAAACUAAUAAUUGACAAUAUUUUGAUAACAAUCAGAAAAUGUAGAGGCCACAGAACAUCUCACACAGAACAUUCAGAGGUUUUAGCAUCAACUUCCAUUAAUAUUGAACAUAAACAUAUUCACCGUUAUUUAAGUACAUAUCUUUGUUAACAGAUGAAUGUAUUUCAGAGUUAAACUAGUGAUGGAUUGUGCCCACCUGCAACAGAAACAAGCAUGUUUUAGAAAUUAAGGGUUAAAAACAGUUAAAGGGUGAAGAACCUUGGAAACAGUUGAAGUAACAUAUGGAGGGAGAAAGUUCAUGCAGAUAUAGGAGGCUGACGGAUGUCUUUUUAACCCAGGAUAUCAGAUUUACUUUCCUAUAUGUACCCAAAAGUCACUGUUGAUUCAUUGUUUAAACUCUAAACUAUAAUCUCUGUACGGUAAAAGAUACCGAGGUAAUUGACUGAAAGAGCCAGGUGUGGUCAUAGUCAUAGUUUUCAAGACACCCUACAUACAUACUGUUCAUGGAAGCAGCUGUGAAAACCAGUAAAGCCACUGUUCAGAGCAAAGCUAUCAUGAAGCUCUUUCCUCCUCUCCACCAAACAGCUGAGAGAGCUGCAGAGAGAGAAAGAGAGAGAGAGAGAAAGAGAGGCUGAAAGAAUAGGAGAUGAGAAAGGAGGUGGAGUAGGAGGAGAAGUAGGAAAAAGGAGGAGCGGGGUGAUACCAUUUAAAUUGAUUCCACGACCUGCGGGCCCUGCAUCCUGUCACGCUUUCUUGCAGCUCCGCUCCUUUGCCAUUCCCAUCCAGGGAGCACAUCUGAGAAGACCUGCAGCUCUUUUCCUUCCAUUUUCUCUCCAAGGAAAGGUAUUUUCAUCCCUGGGUAUUUCACAGCUCCUCCAUGGCCACCCCCCAACCUCAUUCUCUUAUCUCCCACACUGUCACAACCAUUCAGCUCCUGUAGGCUUCAGCAGACAGCCUGAGCUUACUGUGUUUUUUUCACAGAAAAACUCUGAUUUUUCACUUCUCUCCCACCAUAUUUCCUUUUAAUGCCUCCAUCUCUCUCCCCAGCCACCUCGGCAUGAAUUCCCUUCACAUUUCCAGUUCCUUCUCUAACUUUGUCCCCGUCUUAAUGACUUCCCUUCACAUCUCUCCCCUUCUAUCUUUGUUCCUCUCCUUGCCACGUGUUCUCUCUCCUUCUCUCUCUCUUUUCCUCUCUGCCUCUGACUUGAGUGCCAUUUGAUGAGACCUGGAUUGAGAGCGGUGGAGUAUCGGUGCCGUGCAGCAGUGCACCCAAGAGAGGAUGUCAGAGGAAGAGACAGGCCCUCUUCACAUUAAAUAUCAUCUGACACCUAAUCUGCCGCACCUUCUGCCUCUGAUGAGAGGUGGAGGAUGGGAGUGCUCUCUGUACUCCAGGAAAUAACCCCAAUUUUUCGCUCUUUCGUUCAUGCGGUGGAGUAAUUAAUACAUCAAGGAAAAAGCUAGGAGCAAAGAAACGGGGAGGAAAUUGGAACAGACUUUCAAAAAGCGCCCACUUUCACCCAGAAACCAACCGGGGGGCGCAACCACGUCAGAGACAACAACUUAAAACCUUUGUCUUCCUCUC
RNAcentral lists this long non-coding RNA (4888 nucleotides) under Xyrichtys novacula (pearly razorfish). Lineage: Eukaryota; Metazoa; Chordata; Actinopteri; Labriformes; Labridae. The record is from RNAcentral.